AGAAAAUCGCAGCCAUACGGGCUACGCUCCCAUGGCUGAACUUUAUCUGCAUUUUAAUGGCAGGAGGAGGGGGAGGAGUGUGUGUGUGUGUGUGUGUGUGCUGUGUGUUGGGGAGGUGGGGGGGAGGUAAAGACUAUGUGCUCCUCCCUCGCAUCAUAUGUCAGCCAUUAGUGCAUCACAGAGAGCUGGCACAGCACAACAUAGUGCAGUGAAGUGUAGUGGACCGCAGGAGCGCUUCAAACUCUCAGACCAAAAAAAAAAAAAAAGGGGGGGGGGCAGACAAUAAACAGCUGACCUUUGGGACCCAAGAGCACCCACUCAGGACUGACAACUGAAAGAUGAGCCCGUCCACUCAUUUUCUGCCUUCAGUACAAGCACGCCUGGGCUCGAUAAAACCCGACGGGGAUGCGAGGGAGGACGAUAAAGAGUCACAGAACAUCCCGAUCACGUUUGCAAGGAGCUCGAGGAGUCAAAACAACACCGGACGGGGGAAGCAGCUGGUAGGAAUGUUGUCACGGGAAACAUCGAGAGGCGUUUGAUGUGUUCUGCGGCCAGAUGUGUUGGAAGCAAAAUAAGGUGAAAUCCUGACAUAGUUGGGACAUGGUAUAGAGCAAAGCGCAAGUGAAACACACACGCUUUUUUGCCUUGCUUCCCACACAAACGCGCUGAUGACUUUCAGAUGUGACGGUCACGUUUUCUGAUGUUCUGUCCAAGUCCAAUGUCGUUUCUAUCAACGUCGUCUGUGGUUUUUCCACCCCUUUGACUACGACGCUGCUAUCAAGGAACUGCGGUCCAAGUACGCGUUGUACAAUUUCUUUCAAUCUGUUUCCUUUUUCAGCCAACAGCACUCAGAAGGAGAUAUGCCAAGUGGCCAUAAGUCAAAGUGAAAUGCCAAAACAGCACAGUUCCGGACUAAACAUUCCACGGAGGGCUUCCCGCCACCCCCUCCCCGCCUUCGGGCUAUGCGACACAAACGUAAACGAAAGAUCCUUACACAAAACAGCAUAUGUCUCGCGGAGAGAAGGAGUUUGGCGGUAACGACACAAAGUGGUUGACCUUUGACGUCGACAAAAAUAAAAAUAAAAAAAGCUACAUUUCGUCUUCCUUCUUAAACGCUAGCCAGCUGUGUUUCCACUCAGGCAGCGGUUCUUAGAAAACCUUCAAGAUAUUGACCCGCCGCUCUCAAAACAUGGACACAAUAAAACAAACUGCUGCAAUAGCGGGACAGCACACCCCGAGGAUGUUUAUUUCCGUGCUUUAACUAUUCCAACUGUCUCCCUUUUACAGCUUUUUUCGGCCUCCUGGUGGAUGGAAGUUUUCAUUCAGGCUUAAGCGUUGCUCAAUUAUGCAUACCCAUGAGCUUGAUUUUUAAACUGAAGGGCUGCUUUUUUUUUUUUUUUUUUUUUUUUUUUUUUGGCGAAUGAAGAUGAAGGUGGCACCGACCGACUCAGUAAAACUGGACAGCCUACGUCUGCAAAAAUUCCGUUUCAAAGAGACACGUCAAAGAAAAACACGUUUAAAUUUCCAUUACUUUCAGUGACUGUUUUUCUGUCAGAAAAUCGGCAAUAAUGUUAUCAUUUCUUUGCAAAGUAAAAUCAAAUGUUUUAUUUUGAUUGGAUACAAAGAUAAUCACGUCGCUAGAGAAAUUCGAUAAUGUUUACUGUUGAGAAUCUGAAAUUCUAGGCAUUUGGACUAUUUUACAUGAAAAAAAGGCAUCUAAAUCAUUCAUCAAUUAAUUUGGCACUCUUAUUAGUUAUCGAUUAAUCGAUUAAUAGUCACACCUCUAAAAAAAUGGUAUUUCACCUUUCAUGUAUUGGCGAAUUCACAGGUAGCGGGUUGCAUUAUGUUGUGUUUCAUUUUAAAUGUCACUAAAUUUGUUCCUGUUUACAGAAAACAUAUGUUCCCCUACCGCCCCGAAAGUGAACGUGACCUUAAAACUAAGGUAUGUACCGAGCUAUGAUUUUCAGCGAGCCGUUACGGACAUGAGUUGGUCGCCAUGAGAUAGUUCAGAAAAAUGUAGUACAAGUCCGAAGACCCCCGCCCAUCUACUUGCAAGCACGGACAGGCUCGAACAAGACCGGAUGCGAGCUCCGCUGUGUCUGAGACGUGAAUUUUUACGCUUAUGAAGCGCACUCGCGGGUUUAAAAGGUGACGGCGGACGUUGAAGAAGAGCAGUCCAUUUGUGACCUUGGUCAAAGAGGGGCUGUGGACCCUCUCUUGUUCCAUCAGGAGAACCCGAAACCCGGAAGGAGGUUCACGCCCUGCCUCCUCUCAUUCAUCAGCAAUGCCUGUGGUUUGAAUUGAUCACAUAUUUCCUUACAUAUUUAUACACAUAUUUCAUUACAUUUGUGUCUCAUGACUCACUGCUGAGCUCAACACGCGCAUUUUCCUACGCAAUGUAUAUUGUCCCUUUAGUGCCACCAUACAAUCUCUUGUCUUCCCAUCUAAUACGCUAAGUGUGAAUGUUUGUUUGUCUGUAUGUGUUUAGCUGGCGAAUCGUCCAGAGUGUACCUCCUUCACCUUUCUGGUAUAGGCUCCAGCUCACCCCAAUUUGGUAAACCAAACAAUGACAAUAAAGGCUUUCACUUCCAUUCAAAUGAGCAAAAGUGGAAAAUGGAUGACGGUUGCCCACCCCCAGAUUGAAAUGAAAGCUCUACAAUACAUUAAACAAGCAAAAGGACGCCGAGAGGAGAAGGAAACAUGAGCCCAGUGAUGUCACGAGCAAUGGACUCCUCUGGUGUGUACGUGUGUGUGCGUGAGUGUGUGUGUGUGUGUGUGUGUGACAGGUUUGUGGCAUGCUCUACCCUCGGGCUAAAGUCAAAUAUGUCAACGUUGUGCAUGUGGAUUUCAUUUGGGAUGAGUUCAGUUACCGUGAGACCAUCCAUGGAAACGCAGCUCACCAGGAAGCGAUCUGUUUUUAUUAGAAGCCAGCUAGCCCGAAAUGACUGAAAUUGAUAUUUUCCUGGCCAAUUGAUCCCACGUGGAAGCCCAACACUACACACAC
Long non-coding RNA from Hippocampus comes (tiger tail seahorse), 3004 nucleotides. RefSeq lists it as uncharacterized. The transcript is spliced from 3 exons. The record is from RefSeq and is a predicted model, not a curated record. NCBI's taxonomy places the organism in Eukaryota, Metazoa, Chordata, Actinopteri, Syngnathiformes, Syngnathidae.